RNAcentral lists this ribosomal RNA (305 nucleotides) under uncultured bacterium. RNAcentral describes it as "bacterial SSU rRNA". It matches the Rfam family "Bacterial small subunit ribosomal RNA", at positions 337 to 640 of the family's 1533-position model. The record is from RNAcentral.
ACCUACGGGGGGCAGCAGUGAGGAAUAUUGGUCAAUGGUCGGGAGACUGAACCAGCCAAGCCGCGUGAGGGAUGAAGGUACAGAGUAUCGUAAACCUCUUUUGUCAGGGAACAAAGGCAGGGACGUGUCCCCGGAUGAGUGUACCUGAAGAAAAAGCAUCGGCUAACUCCGUGCCAGCAGCCGCGGUAAUACGGAGGAUGCGAGCGUUAUCCGGAUUUAUUGGGUUUAAAGGGUGCGCAGGCGGUCUGUUAAGUCAGCGGUCAAAGCCCGGGGCUCAACCCCGGCCCGCCGUUGAAACUGGCAGG